This 1428-nucleotide ribosomal RNA is filed under the name Tetrahymena rostrata. RNAcentral describes it as "SSU rRNA". It matches the Rfam family "Bacterial small subunit ribosomal RNA", at positions 202 to 1533 of the family's 1533-position model. The record is from RNAcentral. Lineage: Eukaryota; Ciliophora; Oligohymenophorea; Hymenostomatida; Tetrahymenidae.
AUUUUAUUGCAGCUUAAAGAUUAAUCUGUAUAAUAUUGGGUAAUUAUUUCUAAAGUUAUUUAAUAAUUUUUUUUAAUUAAAUUAAUUAUUUUUAGUAAAAUAAGCCAACAUGUUUAGUUGAAUUCAGAGAUUGUUCAACCACAUAUGGGUAUGAAAACGACCCUAUCUUUUUGACAGCAGUGAGGAAUUUUGGACAAUAUGCGAAAGCAUGAUCCAGCGAACUGAUGGAAAUGAAGAAGGUAUGUAAUACUGUAAAGUUUUGUGCGAGAAAUAACAAAUUGAGUAAAUUUUAGGAGAAGCUCUGGCUAAUACAUGUGCCAGCAGCCGCGGUAAUACAUGAGGAGCAAGCGUUAUCCACAUUGACUGAGUGUACUAAAUACUACGGUGAUUACAAUUAGAUUUUUGUUAAAAGGUAUAAAAACUUAAAAUAAAAAUAAAUUCGUAAAUUCUAAUUUUUAAUAAGAAAAUGGAGACUUAUAGAACAGCGAUUAAAUGCAGUCACACUAUAUAGCUUGCCAGAAACUAAGGUGCUUUUCUAUUAAAAAUUUUAGCUGAUGUAUGAAAGUAUGGGUAUCGAUAAGGAUUAGUUUCCCUAGUAGUCCGUACUGUAAAAGAUGAAUACUUUAUGAUUUUUUUAAUCAGGAAUAGUUAACGCAAAGUAUUCCGCUCGGGGAGUAUUAUCGCAAGAUUAAAACUUAACUGAAUUGGCGGGAAUUUGUUCGAACGGUGGAACAUGUGGUUUAAUGCGAUAAUCCACGCAAAAUCUUACCAACGUUUAAGGCUUUAUUAGUAGUAUAAUUAAUAUUAAAACUAAUUAAUAAAGUACGGAAUUGCAUGGCUGUCGUCAGUUCGUGCUGUGAAGUUUCGGAUUAAGUUUUUCUUAACGAAUGUAACCUUAUAAGUAAGUUUUUAAUGGUUAUUAACUAAAUAUAAACUGUUAUUUUUAUUUAAUCUAUUUUCAAUUAAAAUAAAUUUCAUUUUGUUUAUUUUGAGGAUAGGGGUUAUAAGCUGAAGUCAAGUCCCUAUGGUCUUUAUAUGUUGGGCUACACACGUGUUACAAGGGUAAAAACAAAGAGACGCAAUAGAGCAACCUGGAGCUAAUCUCGAAAAAUUACCUUAGUUCAGAUUGUUUCAUGAAAUUCUGAAGCAUGAAGAUGAAAUCGUUAGUAAUUGUAAAUUAUAAUGUUACAGUGAAAUAAUAGUCAAAUUUUGCACACACCGCCCAUCACGCUCGGAAAGUCGAUAUUGGUGGAAGAUUUGAAAAAGCUUUCAAAAAACAAUUAAAUUUAUUUAAAAAAAUCUAGUUGUUGUUUUUAUGUUAUUCUUUAACGUUGUCAGUAAGAGUAGUAUUGAAUCUAGUAUUGGUAAUUUGAGUGAAGUUGACACAAGGUACUGGUAGGGGAACCUGUUGGUGGAAUACAUAAUUAA